AUUUUUAAUAUAGUUUACUUAACCCAGUAUGUCAAAAAUAUUAUUUCAGCAUGUAAUCAAUCCAAAAACCGAUUACUGCUGUCUCCUCAAGGUUUACUCAUUGCCCUCAGCCCCACCCAGGCUCAUCCCAGAGGCAGUAUUUCCAUCUUACGACUGCUGCCAGGCCCGUCCGUGUUUAUGACUUGAUGCCUCCAGCAGAACCCAGGUCAUCCCGGCCAGUUUCAGAUGUCCCUCUUGGUGUACGUUGGUCAGGUGUCCUGUCUCUCCCAGAGCCUUGUAACAUGCGAGAAACUGUUUCUCAAAGGGGUGUAGUUUGCUGUUGCUGACAACGUGGCCCUGCCGUGGCAUCCCAGUGGCCUGCCUGGGGAUUCUCCCACUGGGACUUGCCGUGGGCUCCAUACUCUGUCCUCUGUCUUCCCGUUUCCCGUCGCGGACACUCCCGACACUUCAGCUUCCGGGCACGGUAGGCCGGCCCUGCCACAGAGCCUUCUCCUGCUGUGGCCCCCCUGCAGCAGGCACUCUGCGCGUCACCCAGAAAGCUGUGCUGUCCCUGCGCCCAGACAGCUGCUAGCCACCGUGCUUGCCUCACAGCGGCAGGAGAGACAAGAUACAACCAUUUCUCGUCCUCUUUACUUUCACUUUCUUUCACUGACCACGGAACCCCUUAAAAACUUCAUUAAAGUGGCAGGUCCUUAAAUCUCCAUAGCUGUUAGGUGCGUGUGACUGGAGUGCGUGUGACCGAGCCGUGGCCUCCAGCACAGGACACCUCUUACUCAUCCAGCCUGAUCAGCACGGGGUCACUGAUGGAACGGACCAGUGUGAUGUUCCGUGGGAUGUCCACAUGGGCCCGAUCUCUUGAGAUCACGUCAAGACGGAAGGCAAGGCAGCUCACACAACCCCGAGGCGGAACCGUAAAUGAGUAUUGUUGUGCAUCCCAUGUUCCAGAUUUUCCCCCCCAGGGCCUGACCUUCACGUAUCUACCUUGGCUGAGCACUCAGACUUAUCUGGGCAGCUCUGCUCUUCAGCCUGCCACUCCGCUCUGUCCUGCGCUGCCGGAGAUAAGCGGUCUCUGUCAGAUACCACGGGGCCUGCUGGAGGGCGCACUGCCCCAGGAACCGCUUGUCAGUGGCCGCAGCCCCUCUUCAGCCCGCGGCAGAACACCAGCCUGAGCUCACGGUAACCAGCCGACUUUUUGAGGGCGCUGUUCCGCCCCCCACCCGCCCCCCACCUUAUGUUUUAAAUGCCUGGUUGAUCACACCUACCACAACAUUCUCCUCCUCUAAGGAAAUUCUCCCGGGGCCUCACCAUGAAAUCUUCAGCAUUUGAGCUGCUACCCUGCUCUAGGGACGAUCUGGGGCCCCCAUCAACCAGGAUGGCACCCUCUUCCCCGUGCGCUCUGAGACAGUCCCAAAUCCGCAGCUGGCCCAUCUCCUCAGACCACCUGUUGUUAGUUCUGGUCCUCCCACCAAGACAGGACUCUCUGUGUGCAAGAGACUUACGGGGGAACACGUGUGAGG
Molecule: long non-coding RNA, 1517 nt
Filed under: Ursus maritimus (polar bear)
Lineage: Eukaryota; Metazoa; Chordata; Mammalia; Carnivora; Ursidae
Description: lncRNA (ENSUMAG00000012296.1)
Source: RNAcentral